UACAGAGGUCUCAAGCGUUGUUCGGAUUCAUUGGGCGUAAAGGGCGCGUAGGCGGCGCGGCAAGUCGGGUGUGAAAUCUCGGAGCUUAACUCCGAAACUGCAUUCGAUACUGCCGUGCUUGAGGACUGGAGAGGAGACUGGAAUUUACGGUGUAGCGGUGAAAUGCGUAGAUAUCGUAAGGAAGACCAGUGGCGAAGGCGGGUCUCUGGACAGUUCCUGACGCUGAGGCACGAAAGCGUGGGGAGCAAACAGG
RNAcentral lists this ribosomal RNA (253 nucleotides) under uncultured bacterium. Its description in RNAcentral is "partial 16S ribosomal RNA". It matches the Rfam family "Bacterial small subunit ribosomal RNA", at positions 524 to 776 of the family's 1533-position model. The record is from RNAcentral.